UACAGAGGUCCCAAGCGUUGUUCGGAUUCACUGGGCGUAAAGGGUGCGUAGGUGGUGGGGUAAGUCGGAUGUGAAAGCUCGGAGCUCAACUCCGAAAUGGCAUUGGAAACUACCCUGCUAGAGGAUUGGAGGGGGGACUGGAAUACUUGGUGUAGCAGUGAAAUGCGUAGAUAUCAAGUGGAACACCAGUGGCGAAGGCGAGUCCCUGGACAAUACCUGACACUGGCACGAAAGCUAGGGGAGCAAACAGG
Molecule: ribosomal RNA, 251 nt
Filed under: uncultured bacterium
Lineage: Bacteria
Description: partial 16S ribosomal RNA
Rfam family: Bacterial small subunit ribosomal RNA
Source: RNAcentral